Fonsecaea pedrosoi CBS 271.37 is the source of this 161-nucleotide transfer RNA. It matches the Rfam family "tRNA". From Rfam's summary of the family: Transfer RNA (tRNA) molecules are approximately 80 nucleotides in length. Their secondary structure includes four short double-helical elements and three loops (D, anti-codon, and T loops). The record is from Rfam. NCBI's taxonomy places the organism in Eukaryota, Fungi, Ascomycota, Eurotiomycetes, Chaetothyriales, Herpotrichiellaceae.
GCUGGUGUGGUGUAGUGGUUAGCAUGCUUCGUCAACAAGUUAUGGGUGCAUCGUAACUGCAUUUAACCCCUCAACCACAAAAGUGGGAGGGGUCAACAAACAGUCAUCUAACUCCCUAACAAUAAUCCGAAGCGACCCUGGUUCGAAUCCAGGCACCAGUA